CUUCAUUUAAACAUUUUUUAAACUCCUGGCUUUAUAGCGAUACUGAUUAUAUAAAGUAUGUAAAGGUUUGAGCAAGUUUUCACCAAAUUUCCCGACGAAAUUUGAUGCUUAAUACAUAAUACAUUCUAAACUAAAUAUUUAAUAUGUCUCGACUGACGUGCAAAGUUCAUUCACUUUUCUUCAUUUAAAAAUUAUUUCCUAUCUUAACACGAGACACACUAUAUAUUUUUGAAAUCCUUAGAAGAUUUUCUUUCGAAAGAUAAGUAAACAAAGUCUCUUCAACAAAAAUUGGAUGAGCUUACAUGAGAUUUGUAACGUUGUUUUCAUGUUGUAAACAAUUAAAUUUUAGUCAAGCGACUGCCAAAUUGACACCUAACUUCUAAAUUUCUGAUCGUAUAAACUUGAUUGGGCUAUUCCAUUUAAUAUCCGUACCCCCCCCUGUCGAGGAUCCCUGGAAUUCUUCAGGGGUAAAGGGUUUUGAGCUUGGAAUUCUUCAGGGGUAAAGUGUUUUGAGCUUGGAAUUCUUCAGGGGUAAAGUGUUUUGACGUUGGAAUUCUUCAGGGGUAAAGGGUUUUGAGCUUGGAAUUCUUCAGGGGCAAAGGGUUUUGAGGUUGGAAUUCUUCAGGGGUAAGGAGGUUUGAUUUGAAAUUUUUCAGAGCUUGGAAUUCUUCAGGGGUAAAGGGUUUUCAGCUUGGAAUUCUUCAGGGGUAAAAGGUUUUGAGCUUGGAAUUUUUCAGGGGUAAAGGGUUUUGAGCUUGGAAUUCUUCAGGGGUAAAGGGUUUUGAGCUUGGAAUUCUUCAGGGGUAAAGGGUUUUGAGCUUGGAAUUCUUCAGGGGUAAAGGGUUUUGAGCUUGGAAUUUUGGAAUUCUUCAGGGGUAAAAGGUUUUGAGCUUGGAAUUCUUCAGGGGUAAAGAGUUUUGAGCUUGGAAUUUUGGAAUUCUUCAGGGGUAAAAGGUUUUGAGCUUGGAAUUCUUCAGGGGUAUAACCAUAAAAAACAUGUAUCCUCGACAGGGGGUGUACGGAUAUUAAAUGGAAUAGCCCAUUUAAACAUUUUCCGAUAGCUUAUUUCUCGACGAUUAAAAAUAUAAUAAAAUUUACCUUGACUUGGAACAGCAAGUAUAGGAAAUUUUGAAGA
Non-coding RNA from Paramuricea clavata, 1135 nucleotides. Lineage: Eukaryota; Metazoa; Cnidaria; Anthozoa; Malacalcyonacea; Plexauridae. The record is from the annotation of a GenBank genome assembly.